Molecule: ribosomal RNA, 253 nt
Filed under: uncultured bacterium
Lineage: Bacteria
Description: partial 16S ribosomal RNA
Rfam family: Bacterial small subunit ribosomal RNA
Source: RNAcentral
UACGUAGGGUGCAAGCGUUGUCCGGAAUUAUUGGGCGUAAAGAGCUCGUAGGCGGUCUGUCGCGUCGGCUGUGAAAACUCGGGGCUCAACCCCGAGCCUGCAGUCGAUACGGGCAGACUAGAGUGCGGUAGGGGAGACUGGAAUUCCUGGUGUAGCGGUGAAAUGCGCAGAUAUCAGGAGGAACACCGGCGGCGAAGGCGGGUCUCUGGGCCGUAACUGACGCUGAGGAGCGAAAGCGUGGGGAGCAAACAGG